CCUGACUGCUAUCGGAUUGAUACUAAGCCAUGCGAGUCAUUGCAGUAAUGCAAGGCAGACGGCUCAGUAACGCGUAGUCAACCUACCCUAUGGACGGGAAUAACCUCGGGAAACUGAGUAUAAUGCCCGAUAGAACACUAUACCUGGAAUGGUUUGUGUUCCAAAUGAAUGUCGCCGUAGGAUGGGACUGCGGCCUAUCAGUUUGUUGGUGAGGUAAUGGCCCACCAAGACUAUUACAGGUACGGGCUCUGAGAGGAGUAGCCCGGAGAUGGGUACUGAGACACGGACCCAGGCCCUAUGGGGCGCAGCAGGCGAGAAAACUUUGCAAUGUGCGAAAGCACGACAAGGUUAAUCCGAGUGGUUUGUGCUAAACGAACCUUUUGACAGUCCUAGAAACACUGUUGAAUAAGGGGUGGGCAAGUUCUGGUGUCAGCCGCCGCGGUAAAACCAGCACCUCAAGUGGUCAGGAUGAUUAUUGGGCCUAAAGCAUCCGUAGCCGGCUCUGUAAGUUUUCGGUUAAAUCUGUACGCUCAACGUACAGGCUGCCGGGAAUACUGCAGAGCUAGGGAGUGGGAGAGGUAGACGGUACUCGGUAGGAAGGGGUAAAAUCCUUUGAUCUAUUGAUGACCACCUGUGGCGAAGGCGGUCUACCAGAACACGUCCGACGGUGAGGGAUGAAAGCUGGGGGAGCAAACCGGAUUAGAUACCCGGGUAGUCCCAGCUGUAACUACGCAAACUCAGUGAUGCAUUGGCU
Molecule: ribosomal RNA, 754 nt
Filed under: uncultured bacterium
Lineage: Bacteria
Description: bacterial SSU rRNA
Rfam family: Archaeal small subunit ribosomal RNA
Source: RNAcentral